Molecule: ribosomal RNA, 615 nt
Filed under: Mucor hiemalis
Lineage: Eukaryota; Fungi; Mucoromycota; Mucoromycetes; Mucorales; Mucoraceae
Description: eukaryotic LSU rRNA
Rfam family: 5.8S ribosomal RNA (bases 252-404)
Source: RNAcentral
GGGAGGGGUCUGCGGAAGGAUCAUUAAAUAAUUUAGAUGGCCUUUGCUAGUUUUCUAGCGAAUGGUUCAUUCUUUUUUACUGUGAACUGUUUUAAUUUUUCAGCGUCUGAGGAAUGUCUUUUAGCCAUAGGGAUAGGCUACUAGAAUGUUAACCGAGCUGAAAGUCAGGCUUAGGCCUGGUAUCCUAUUAAUUAUUUACCAAAAGAAUUCAGUAUUAUAAUUGUAACAUAAGCGUAAAAAACUUAUAAAACAACUUUUAACAACGGAUCUCUUGGUUCUCGCAUCGAUGAAGAACGUAGCAAAGUGCGAUAACUAGUGUGAAUUGCAUAUUCAGUGAAUCAUCGAGUCUUUGAACGCAACUUGCGCUCAAUGGUAUUCCAUUGAGCACGCCUGUUUCAGUAUCAAAAACACCCCACAUUCAUAAUUUUGUUGUGAAUGGAAAUGAGAGUUUCGGCUUUAUUGCUGAAUUCUUUAAAAUUAUUAGGCCUGAACUAUUGUUCUUUCUGCCUGAACAUUUUUUUAAUAUAAAGGAAUGCUCUAGUAAAAAGACUAUCUCUGGGGCCUCCCAAAUAAAUCAUUCUUAAAUUUGAUCUGAAAUCAGGCGGAUACCCAAUG